UCUUAGUGGCGGACGGGUGAGUAACGCGUGGGUAACCUGCCUUAUACAGGGGGAUAACACUUAGAAAUAGGUGCUAAUACCGCAUAAGCGCACGGGGCUGCAUGGCCCAGUGUGAAAAACUCCGGUGGUAUAAGAUGGACCCGCGUCUGAUUAGCCAGUUGGCAGGGUAACGGCCUACCAAAGCGACGAUCAGUAGCCGGCCUGAGAGGGUGGACGGCCACAUUGGGACUGAGACACGGCCCAAACUCCUACGGGAGGCAGCAG
RNAcentral lists this ribosomal RNA (264 nucleotides) under uncultured bacterium. RNAcentral describes it as "partial 16S ribosomal RNA". It matches the Rfam family "Bacterial small subunit ribosomal RNA", at positions 90 to 354 of the family's 1533-position model. The record is from RNAcentral.